RNAcentral lists this ribosomal RNA (405 nucleotides) under uncultured bacterium. RNAcentral's name for it is "partial 16S ribosomal RNA". It matches the Rfam family "Bacterial small subunit ribosomal RNA", at positions 28 to 526 of the family's 1533-position model. The record is from RNAcentral.
GAUGAACGCUGGCGGCAUGCCUAAUACAUGCAAGUCGAGCGAAGCGGGGACGGGUGAGUAACACGUGGAUAACCUCCUAUAAGGCUGGGAUAACUUCGGGCAACCGGAGCUAAACCGGAAACUGAUAGGUGGAUCCGCGCUGCACUAGCUAGUUGGUAAGGUAACGGCUUACCAAGGCAACGAUGCAUAGCCGACCUGAGCGGGUGACCGGCCAUACUGGAACUGGGACACGGUCCAGACUCCUACGGGAGGCAGCAGUAGGGAAUCUUCCGCAAUGGGCGCAAGCCUGACGGAGCAACUCCGCGUGGGUGAUGAAGGCCUUCGGAUCGUAAAACUCUGUUAUUAGGGAAGCGGUACCUAAUCAGAAAGCCAUGGCGAACUACGUGCCAGCCGCCGCGGUAAUAC